UCCGAUAUCCACACAGACGUGACUCGUUGCCCUCCCCUCGCACAAUCCCGUCGCGGCGUCGCCCUCCCCUUCUCUCCGACCGGCGGCGCCGACCCUCCCAGCACUGCGACGCCGCCCCUCCCAGCUGCGAAGAUGGAGUCCUUGGUGGCGAACUUGGUGGCCCAGGCCAGCACGAUGUUCUCGUUCUUCCCCGUGAAGUAGUUGAGCACGAAGCAGAUCAGGAAGCUAACGCAGGCGAUCUCGACGGAGAAGGCACGCAGGAGCUCCGCCGGCGUCCUCUUCGGGGCUGGCGCCGCCUCGGCCGCCGCCUCCACGGAGGGAUCUGAUGGGGCGGCCUCGGCCGGCGCGGCGGAGUCGUCGGAGGAGAUCGCCUCCGGCACGGGGAUGCCCUCGAACUCGUCCUCGUCCCAGAGAUCGAGCGCCAGGGUGGGGUUCGAGGGCGUGGGCGCGGCGGGGUUAGGGUUCGGCGCCGAAGUCAUCGUGACGGGAGGGGAAGGCGAGGAGGUGGAGAGGGAGAUGGGCGGAGGGGGCGAGAGGUCGACGCCGUCGAGCCCCUCCUCGUCAUCGUAAGCAUCGACGCCGCCAGCCGUGGAGGGGAGGUCGUCGGAGUCGAAGCCCUCGAAGUUGGCGGCGAGGGAGAAAGUGAGGUUGAGGGCGAGGAGCAGGAGGAGUAGGAGGGCUGCGCGCGGCGGCCGGAGCCCGAUCCAGCUCGGCGCUGCCAUGGCCGAUGAGGUGUUCUGGGGAAGAUGGAGGGGCAUUUUUGUCUAACAGAUUCGAUUUUCAGUUGAGGUCUGCACCUCUCAAAUUGGUAUUUUCAGUUGAGGUCUGUACCUUUCAGUGGUAUUUUACGGUAUCAAUAUCUUUCAAUGAUAUGUUAUAGAAAUCGACCAAUUUUUUCAAAUAAUUUUACGGUAUUUUACGGAGUGAAUGUCUUUCAAUAAUAUUUUAUAGAAGUCGACCAAUUUUUUCAAAUAAAAAUGACAAGCUGGAGUAGACAAUGCUGGUAUGAAUUAUGAUCAAGCUCUAUCUUCUUUAACGGAUCUAGUUUUCCUAGACGGGUAAUCCUCUUCAUCAGAUCUUCAUCCCGAUAGUACUAUGGUUUUAUUCCUCUCCUCUUCUAACGAAGCACUAUGAAAAGAGUAUGUUUAUAUAGUGAUAACUUUUCGAAAAAUAUUUACAUCUACCCGAAAUGAUAGCGAAGACGAGGUUGGAUGUAGAGAUGAAUGAUGUAC
RNAcentral lists this long non-coding RNA (1232 nucleotides) under Setaria italica (foxtail millet). RNAcentral describes it as "long non-coding RNA (SITA_LNC001738)". Lineage: Eukaryota; Viridiplantae; Streptophyta; Magnoliopsida; Poales; Poaceae. The record is from RNAcentral.